AGAGUUUGAUCAUGGCUCAGGACGAACGCUGGCGGCGUGCCUAAUGCAUGCAAGUCGAGCGAGCUACAGUCUUCGGACUGUAGCUUAGCGGCGAACGGGUGAGUAACACGUAGGUGAUCUACCCUUCAGAGGAGGACAACUUCAGGAAACUGAGGCUAAACCUUCAUACGUUCACUGGUAGGGAUACUGGUGAAGAAAGAGUUACCGUCAAGGUAGUUGCUGAAGGAUGAGCCUGCGGCCCAUCAGGUAGUUGGUGAGGUAACGGCUCACCAAGCCGAAGACGGGUAACCGGUCUGAGAGGAUGUCCGGUCACACUGGGACUGAGACACGGCCCAGACUCCUACGGGAGGCAGCAGCAGGGAAUCUUGGGCAAUGGGCGAAAGCCUGACCCAGCGACGCCGCGUGGAGGAAGAAGUCCUUCGGGGCGUAAACUCCUGGACUGGGGGACGAGGAAGGACGGUACCCCAGUAGAAAGGGACGGCUAACUACGUGCCAGCAGCCGCGGUAAAACGUAGGUCCCGAGCGUUGUUCGGAUUCACUGGGUGUAAAGGGCGCGUAGGUGGUUGUCUGUGUCUCAUGUGAAAACUCAGGGCUCAACUCUGAGAUUGCGUGGGAAACUAGGCAGCUAGAGGACGGUAGAGGGGAGUGGAAUUCCCGGUGUAGCGGUAAAAUGCGUAGAUAUCGGGAGGAACACCGGUGGCGAAGGCGGCUCUCUGGGCCGAUCCUGACGCUGAGGCGCGAAAGCUAGGGGAGCGAACCGGAUUAGAUACCCGGGUAGUCCUAGCCGUAAACGAUGGGUGCUAGGUGUUGGGGGGUAAAGACCCUUCAGUGCCGAAGCCAACGCGAUAAGCAUCCCACCUGGGGAGUACGGCCGCAAGGUUGAAACUCAAAUGAAUUGACGG
This 902-nucleotide ribosomal RNA is filed under the name Thermoanaerobacteriaceae bacterium enrichment culture clone L55B-64. RNAcentral describes it as "bacterial SSU rRNA". It matches the Rfam family "Bacterial small subunit ribosomal RNA", at positions 8 to 916 of the family's 1533-position model. The record is from RNAcentral. Lineage: Bacteria; Pseudomonadati; Thermodesulfobacteriota; Thermodesulfobacteria; Thermodesulfobacteriales; Thermodesulfobacteriaceae.